AGCGGGGUGGAGAAGUAGUAUCUUGUCAGGCUCAUAACCUGAAGACCCAGGUGCAAUUCCUGGCCCCGCAA
Molecule: transfer RNA, 71 nt
Filed under: bacterium (Candidatus Gribaldobacteria) CG_4_10_14_0_8_um_filter_33_9
Lineage: Bacteria; Candidatus Gribaldobacteria
Description: tRNA-Met
Rfam family: tRNA
About the family: Transfer RNA (tRNA) molecules are approximately 80 nucleotides in length.
Source: RNAcentral